Molecule: ribosomal RNA, 253 nt
Filed under: uncultured bacterium
Lineage: Bacteria
Description: partial 16S ribosomal RNA
Rfam family: Bacterial small subunit ribosomal RNA
Source: RNAcentral
UACGUAGGGACCAAGCGUUGUCCGGAAUCAUUGGGCGUAAAGCGCGCGUAGGUGGCCAUUUAAGUCCGCUGUGAAAGUCAGAGGCUCAACCUUUGAAAGCCGGUGGAUACUGGAUGGCUAGAGUACGGAAGAGGCGAGUGGAAUUCCUGGUGUAGCGGUGGAAUGCGCAGAUAUCAGGAGGAACACCGAUGGCGAAGGCAGGUCUCUGGGCCACUACUGACGCUGAGAAGCGAAAGCAUGGGGAGCGAACAGG